GCCGCAGUAACUCAGGGGUAGAGUAGCUGAUUUGUAAUCAGCCUGUCGUCAGUUCAAAUCUGACCUGCGGCUCCA
Molecule: transfer RNA, 75 nt
Filed under: Deltaproteobacteria bacterium
Lineage: Bacteria; Pseudomonadati; Myxococcota; Myxococcia
Description: tRNA-Thr
Rfam family: tRNA
About the family: Transfer RNA (tRNA) molecules are approximately 80 nucleotides in length. Their secondary structure includes four short double-helical elements and three loops (D, anti-codon, and T loops).
Source: RNAcentral